GACGAACGCUGGCGGCGUGCCUAAUACAUGCAAGUAGGACGCAGUUGCGAACGGGUGAGUAACGCGUCGGUAACUGCCUAUUAGAGGGGGAUAACUAUUGGAAACGAUAGCUAAUACCGCAUACUAGUAGAUGGACCUGCGUUGUAUUAGCUAGUAGGUAGGGUAAUGGCCUACCUAGGCGACGAUACAUAGCCGACCUGAGGGGGUGCACGGCCCAACUGGGACUGGGGCACGGCCCAGGCUCCUACGGGGGGCAGCAGUAGGGAAUCUUCGGAAAUGGGGGGAACGCUGACCGAGCAACGCCGCGGGAGUGAAGGAGGUUUUCGGGUCGUAAAGCUCUGUUGUUAAGGAAGCGGUACUUAACCAGAAAGGGACGGCUAACUACGUGCCAGCCGCCGCGGUAAUUC
Molecule: ribosomal RNA, 407 nt
Filed under: uncultured bacterium
Lineage: Bacteria
Description: partial 16S ribosomal RNA
Rfam family: Bacterial small subunit ribosomal RNA
Source: RNAcentral